UCGGUCCGAGGGCGGGUCUGGGCCGGGGAAGCCCAGCGGCGGGAAGUCCCUGCGUCCCUGAGUUUCACUUCCACUUCACAACCUGGGUCGAGUCCUUCUGCCUGGACACUCGUGACGCGGGCCCCGGUCUCACUUUCAUUGGCCGUCCGGUUUCCAGACCCAGAAAUUGAACUCGAUGGAGCCUAGGACCCUCCUCCUGCUGCUCACGGGGACCCUGACCCUGACCCUGACCGAGACCCAGGCGGGCUCGCAACUCUGAGUUACUUCUACACCGCCGUGUCCCGGCCCGGCCUGGGGUAGCCGCGCUUUCUCGCCGUGGGCUACGUGGACGACACGCAGUUCGUGGGCUUCGACAGCGACGCCGAGAACCCGAGGAUGGAGCCACGGGCGCCUUGGUGAGGCAGGUGGACCCGGGGUACUGGGACAGGGAGACACAGCGCUGCAAAAACAUUGCGCAAACUGACCGCGUGAACCUGAACACCCGGCGCGGCUAGGAAAACCAGAGCGAGGCUGCUCUCUGCUAUGGCCUGGGAAAGCAGUGGAAGAUGGCCCAAGUCCUUGGGCCCUGCACCCACGUGGGAGACCUGGAACAAGCUCCUGGCUCCUGGCUUUGGAUCGACGCAGCAUCUGGGGAAUGAACCAGCAGAUGGAAGACUCUCUCUGCCUCUCCUUCUCUCUCUCUGUAACUCUUUUGAAUAAAUAUAUUAAAUCUUAAAAAAAUAGAAGAAAGUGAAAAUAAAGAGAAUUUCCAUGUA
This is a long non-coding RNA of Oryctolagus cuniculus (rabbit), 755 nucleotides long. RefSeq lists it as uncharacterized. The record is from RefSeq and is a predicted model, not a curated record. Lineage: Eukaryota; Metazoa; Chordata; Mammalia; Lagomorpha; Leporidae.